UAGAGUUUGAUCAUGGCUCAGAUUGAACGCUGGCGGCAGGCUUAACACAUGCAAGUCGAACGAUGAUUAUCUAGCUUGCUAGAUAUGAUUAGUGGCGGACGGGUGAGUAACAUUUAGGAAUCUGCCUAGUAGUGGGGGAUAGCUCGGGGAAACUCGAAUUAAUACCGCAUACGACCUACGGGUGAAAGGGGGCGCAAGCUCUUGCUAUUAGAUGAGCCUAAAUCAGAUUAGCUAGUUGGUGGGGUAAAGGCCCACCAAGGCGACGAUCUGUAACUGGUCUGAGAGGAUGAUCAGUCACACCGGAACUGAGACACGGUCCGGACUCCUACGGGAGGCAGCAGUGGGGAAUAUUGGACAAUGGGGGCAACCCUGAUCCAGCCAUGCCGCGUGUGUGAAGAAGGCCUUUUGGUUGUAAAGCACUUUAAGCAGGGAGGAGAGACUAAUGGUUAAUACCCAUUAGAUUAGACGUUACCUGCAGAAUAAGCACCGGCUAACUCUGUGCCAGCAGCCGCGGUAAUACAGAGGGUGCGAGCGUUAAUCGGAAUUACUGGGCGUAGAGCGAGUGUAGGUGGCUCAUUAAGUCACAUGUGAAAUCCCCGGGCUUAACCUGGGAACUGCAUGUGAUACUGGUGGUGCUAGAAUAUGUGAGAGGGAAGUAGAAUUCCAGGUGUAGCGGUGAAAUGCGUAGAGAUCUGGAGGAAUACCGAUGGCGAAGGCAGCUUCCUGGCAUAAUAUUGACACUGAGAUUCGAAAGCGUGGGUAGCAAACAGGAUUAGAUACCCUGGUAGUCCACGCCGUAAACGAUGUCUACUAGCCGUUGGGGUCCUUGAGACUUUAGUGGCGCAGUUAACGCGAUAAGUAGACCGCCUGGGGAGUACGGCCGCAAGGUUAAAACUCAAAUGAAUUGACGGG
Molecule: ribosomal RNA, 912 nt
Filed under: uncultured sponge bacterium
Lineage: Bacteria
Description: bacterial SSU rRNA
Rfam family: Bacterial small subunit ribosomal RNA
Source: RNAcentral